Molecule: ribosomal RNA, 495 nt
Filed under: uncultured bacterium
Lineage: Bacteria
Description: partial 16S ribosomal RNA
Rfam family: Bacterial small subunit ribosomal RNA
Source: RNAcentral
GACGAACGCUGGCGGCGUGCCUAAUACAUGCAAGUAGAACGCUGAAGGAGGAGCUUGCUUCUCUGGAUGAGUUGCGAACGGGUGAGUAACGCGUAGGUAACCUGCCUGGUAGCGGGGGAUAACUAUUGGAAACGAUAGCUAAUACCGCAUAAGAGUAGAUGUUGCAUGACAUUUGCUUAAAAGGUGCAAUUGCAUCACUACCAGAUGGUCCUGCGUUGUAUUAGCUAGUUGGUGGGGUAACGGCUCACCAAGGCGACGAUACAUAGCCGACCUGAGAGGGUGAUCGGCCACACUGGGACUGAGACACGGCCCAGACUCCUACGGGAGGCAGCAGUAGGGAAUCUUCGGCAAUGGACGGAAGUCUGACCGAGCAACGCCGCGUGAGUGAAGAAGGUUUUCGGAUCGUAAAGCUCUGUUGUAAGAGAAGAACGAGUGUGAGAGUGGAAAGUUCACACUGUGACGGUAUCUUACCAGAAAGGGACGGCUAACUACGUG